This 253-nucleotide ribosomal RNA is filed under the name uncultured bacterium. Its description in RNAcentral is "partial 16S ribosomal RNA". It matches the Rfam family "Bacterial small subunit ribosomal RNA", at positions 524 to 776 of the family's 1533-position model. The record is from RNAcentral.
UACGAAGGGGACUAGCGUUGCUCGGAAUUACUGGGCGUAAAGCGCACGUAGGCGGAUUGUUAAGUCGGGGGUGAAAUCCUGGAGCUCAACUCCAGAACUGCCUUCGAUACUGGCGAUCUCGAGUUCGGGAGAGGUGAGUGGAACUGCGAGUGUAGAGGUGAAAUUCGUAGAUAUUCGCAAGAACACCAGUGGCGAAGGCGGCUCACUGGCCCGAUACUGACGCUGAGGUGCGAAAGCGUGGGGAGCAAACAGG